This 386-nucleotide ribosomal RNA is filed under the name uncultured bacterium. Its description in RNAcentral is "bacterial SSU rRNA". It matches the Rfam family "Bacterial small subunit ribosomal RNA", at positions 28 to 412 of the family's 1533-position model. The record is from RNAcentral.
AUUGAACGCUGGCGGCAUGCUUUACACAUGCAAGUCGAACGGCAGCGGGGGCUUCGGCCUGCCGGCGAGUGGCGAACGGGUGAGUAAUGCAUCGGAGCGUGCCCAUGUCGUGGGGGAUAACGUAGCGAAAGCUACGCUAAUACCGCAUACGCCCUGAGGGGGAAAGCGGGGGAGUUCUUCGGAACCUCGCGCGAUUGGAGCGGCCGAUGUCGGAUUAGCUAGUAGGUGAGGUAAAGGCUCACCUAGGCGACGAUCCGUAGCGGGUCUGAGAGGAUGAUCCGCCACACUGGGACUGAGAUACGGCCCAGACUCCUACGGGAGGCAGCAGUGGGGAAUUUUGGACAAUGGGCGCAAGCCUGAUCCAGCCAUGCCGCGUGAGUGAAGAA